UAGCUAUCAAUGAUCAGUUUA
Molecule: non-coding RNA, 21 nt
Filed under: Sclerotinia sclerotiorum
Lineage: Eukaryota; Fungi; Ascomycota; Leotiomycetes; Helotiales; Sclerotiniaceae
Source: RNAcentral